This 433-nucleotide ribosomal RNA is filed under the name uncultured bacterium. Its description in RNAcentral is "partial 16S ribosomal RNA". It matches the Rfam family "Bacterial small subunit ribosomal RNA", at positions 29 to 507 of the family's 1533-position model. The record is from RNAcentral.
AACGAACGCUGGCGGCAUGCCUAACACAUGCAAGUCGAACGAUGCCUCCGGGCAUAGUGGCGCACGGGCGCGUAACGCGUGGGAAUCUGCCCUUGGGUUCGGAAUAACUCGCCGAAAGGCGAGCUAAUACCGGAUGAUGACGUAAGUCCAAAGAUUUAUCGCCCAAGGAUGAGCCCGCGUAGGAUUAGCUAGUUGGUGGGGUAAAGGCCCACCAAGGCGACGAUCCUUAGCUGGUCUGAGAGUAUGAUCAGCCACACUGGGACUGAGACACGGCCCAGACUCCUACGGGAGGCAGCAGUGGGGAAUAUUGGACAAUGGGCGAAAGCCUGAUCCAGCAAUGCCGCGUGAGUGAUGAAGGCCUUAGGGUUGUAAAGCUCUUUUACCCGGGAUGAUAAUGACAGUACCGGGAGAAUAAGCUCCGGCUAACUCCGUG